UGUGUGUUAGCGCAGUGGGUUAGCGCAGUGUCAGUGCUGAAGUCUGAAGUUGUGGGUUCGAGCCCCAGCAGGUGUAG
Molecule: non-coding RNA, 77 nt
Organism: Pangasianodon gigas (Mekong giant catfish)
Lineage: Eukaryota; Metazoa; Chordata; Actinopteri; Siluriformes; Pangasiidae
Source: the annotation of a GenBank genome assembly